GCUGGUUUUCCCACCCUAAUCUUAUUAUGUAAAUGGGCUUUCCACUUGAUCAGUGCCAUCCUGUCUGCUCGUUACUGUACACGUGGCUGGCAAAGAGAUGAGAAGAUGGAGUCGCCAUUGUGAUCAUGCCUAGUCUCAGGGACAUGGAUGAAUCUGGAGAACAUCAUCCUCAGCAAACUGACACAAGAACAGAAAACGAAACACCGCAUAUUCUCACUCAUAGAUGUUACAGAAAGACAACAGAAUGUGAAGGUCAUGUUGGUCAGCCAAAUCAAAGCUGGUUCCACAGGCAAAUCACAUGGAAUUCAUUGACAUCGGUGCCCACAGUGAGAAGCAGCCCAGCAUCCUGUACUCAGCAUGGUGAUACUGCUCCACGUAUUGUUGAAGGGUUGACAGACAUUUUGCAUCAAUUUACCAUUCAAGAGGGUUUCAAAAGAUGACUAAAACUACUAGUGCUAAAUGCAAGUAUUAAAUGAUAAACACUUUUCAGAAAGUCAAGUUCAUAGGCCUGCCUAUAUUACUCAUUUAUUCUACUUAUUCACUCAUUUAUCCACUCAUUCAUUUACACAGACACACACGCAUGCGCACGCGCGCACACACACACACACACACACACAGAGAGAGAGAGAGAGAGAGAGAGAGAGAGAGAGAGAUUAACAAGUAUGUUCAAGGCAUUAUACCAGAAAAAAGAUCAUUAUGACAACACUCUAACCUCAAGGAACGGAUCAUCUAUUAGUAAAAGUACUCUAGCAGAAAAUGAAGAAUGAUAAGUGUAAAUAAUAAUUUAAAAAAUCAGGGGGAUCAAAAUCCUGAUGCAACGAUGUCCUGAAUAGUUGGUGAAAAGGGAAGGUAGGCUGGAAGGUUGUGCUCAAUGGAAAAAGCUGCACAACAGUAUAAUAAUUAUCACCAAAGUUACAGACAAAAUAAAUGCUCUUUGAAUUAAAUUUUCUAUGUCCCCAAAUACUUGUAAAUUUGCAAAGAAUAAGAGAGAAUUUUAAUAUUCAGAAAAUAUUUUAUAUUGCAUGUUAA
This 1029-nucleotide long non-coding RNA is filed under the name Callithrix jacchus (white-tufted-ear marmoset). Its description in RNAcentral is "lncRNA (ENSCJAG00000070506.1)". The record is from RNAcentral. Lineage: Eukaryota; Metazoa; Chordata; Mammalia; Primates; Cebidae.